Molecule: long non-coding RNA, 1395 nt
Organism: Coturnix japonica (Japanese quail)
Lineage: Eukaryota; Metazoa; Chordata; Aves; Galliformes; Phasianidae
Source: RefSeq, a predicted model, not a curated record
GAUGUUCCACUGUGACAGCAAGGUAUGCCAUAUUUAUUCCUCUCAUACACUGAUUUAGGAAUGCUGGAACUUUGUAGCAUGACGCUACUGUCAAGGCUGCUGUGGUUCCUUGAAGACCUGCAGAGCAGAAAGUCAAGGCUGUUGACAUGGUAUCACAGUGUUGUACCCACAGAAACAUGGAUAGGUGAUAAAUGUGCUAAAUUCUACAUGCUGAUUUUUUUCUGUUGGAAUAGGAGCCUUUGCAUGCAGAAGCAGUCUAGUGAUGCAAUAGGACAGAGCAAAGAGGAAGAAACAGAAAAAGACUAGGCUUAAUCUGAGGGCUGACCAACCGCCUUAUUCAGUCCAAAGAUACGUAAGCUAUAUUCCUAAGUUCCUCAAGCUUUCCAGAAUGUUGAAACUUCUGAUUUUUGGGGUUAGAUGGGAUCUCACCGAAAUAGUGAUAUAUUUGACUAUGUGUGCAUUUUCUGGUGAGCACGUCCAACAUCACUGCAUUGAGCUGAAUGGAGCACUACAUCAGAGGCAGUGUCACCUGUGUGUUCCAAUUACUGUGUGGGCCACUUAUCCUCAAUGAAAGAAACCAAAGCCAGAGACAUCCAUGCAUGGAGAUCAACUUGUGGGAAGAGGUAGGAUGAAAUUUUUAUGGUAUAAUCUGUUUAAAUGCCUUAAAAUUUGGAAGCAGAUCUGUCUGCUUGUUCCUUCCUUCUGUGCUUUCGAUGUUUCUUCUCCAGCUUUUUGCAGUCUCUUCUGGAGGAGCUUGAAGAGUUUGAGGAUUACAUUCUUCUCUUUGCCCUUCAGACAGCUCUAGAUAUUUUCUCCAUCUGAACUGAGUCAUAUGCUACAUGAUAUGAAGACUGAGUAGGUGAAUGUCUGGAUUUUCCUGUCCUUUCAGCUGGAUUAUAUAAAUUAUGGUUCUUCACUGUUGGCUGACUUCCCUUUUCCUGCUGUGGUGUACUUUGACACAGCGCUAUUGCAUGUGCUUCAAGAGAAUUCAAUGGCUCUUCAGUAAGAAACUUGAUGCCUCACAGACCACCAGAGAUGGCUGUGCCAGAAGGAAGACAGUACAUGAAAAGUGGCCAAGUGGACUUCCUGGCUGGGGAUCGUGCAGCUGGCCAUCAGCCUGCUUUCAUAGAAACAGAAGGAGCAGAAACAUCCCCAGAGGACCAUUUGGGCAAACAAUGACAGAUGGAUCCAGGCAGUCCAGCUUCUCUCUUAAGCAAAGUCUGCUUGUAUUGGAACUAUUCAGAAAGCCACACCACGCUUUAAAGGAAACAAACAAAUAAAUCUACAGGAGAAAAAAGAACAAACCAAGACACCAAAUUAGCUGCCAAAGUACAAGCUUGCUGUUAUAACCAGCUGUUUAACAAUAAAGCUGCAGGAAACGUUUGUUCCCUUGCA